RNAcentral lists this ribosomal RNA (372 nucleotides) under uncultured bacterium. RNAcentral describes it as "partial 16S ribosomal RNA". It matches the Rfam family "Bacterial small subunit ribosomal RNA", at positions 355 to 717 of the family's 1533-position model. The record is from RNAcentral.
UGGGGAAUUUUGGACGAUGGGCGAAAGCCUGAUCCAGCAAUGCCGCGUGUGUGAAGAAGGCCUUCGGGUUGUAAAGCACUUUUGUCCGGAAAGAAAUCCUUGGGCUCUAAUACAGUCGGGGGGAUACGGUACCGGAAGAAUAAGCACCGGCUAACUACNUGCCAGCAGCCGCGGUAAUACNUAGGGUGCAAGCGUUAAUCGGAAUUACUGGGGCGUAAAGCGUGCGCAGGCGGUUUGCUAAGACCGAUGUGAAAUCCCGGGCUCAACCUGGGAACUGCAUUGGUGACUGGCAGGCUAGAGUAUGGCAGAGGGGGGUAGAAUUCCACGUGUAGCAGUGAAAAUGCGUAGAGAUGUGGAGGAAUACCGAUGGCG